AUGACUCCCCUCCCAGUUUUCGUCCUCCUGUCAUUGGUUUGUUUAUGCAAAUCCGAUGACCGCCUUACUCCCGAAAAAUCACUCAACGCUGGUGAUAAGCUCGUUUCGAGCGGCGGCAUCUUUGCUCUUGGCUUCUUCACCCCGGCAAACUCAACUGCGGACACGUACAUCGGCAUAUGGUACAACAAGAUCCCUGAGCGCACUUAUGUGUGGGUCGCUAACCGCGACAAGCCGAUCAAGAAUGGUUCUCCUGGGAAGCUGGCUAUGAGCAGCGACUCUGACCUUGUCUUGUCUGACUCCCAAGGCCGAACUCUAUGGACAACCACAAACAACUUCACAUCCGCAACCACCGGAACUGCUGCUAUACUGUUUGAUUCCGGAAACUUGGUCAUCCGGUUGCCGAAUGGCACAGACAUAUGGCAGAGCUUCCAUUACCCGACUGACACCGCCCUCCCUGACAUGGUUUUACCACUGAGCACAAAUGAUGGUAUCUUGAUGCGCCUCAUUGCUUGGAGGGCCCCUGAUGACCCGGCCUCCAGCGACUACUCCAUGGGUGGUGACUCUAGCUCAGACCUUCAGGUUGUAAUCUGGAAUGGGACGAGACCGUAUUGGCGUAGAUCUGCGUGGGAUGGGUCAUUGGUCUCUGCCCUGUAUCAAAGCAACACUGGCUUCAUCGUAACUGAAACAAUUGUCGACAGAGGGGGUGAGUUAUACAUGACAUUCACCGUCUCUGAGGGCUCACCAAGCAUGCGCAUGACACUGGACUACAAAGGCACUUUUAAAUUUCUGGUCUGGAACAGCAACUCGUCAUCAUGGGAGGCUUUCAUAGAGCAUCCUAGUCCUAUCUGUGAACGCUACGCCUAUUGCGGACCAUUUGGCUACUGUGAUGCCGCUGAAACAGUUCCGAAAUGCAACUGCCUCAGUGGGUUUGAGCCUGAUGGCGUCAACUUCUCCAGAGGAUGUCGGAGAAAGGAGGAUCUGAAAUGUGGUAUUGACAAUAAUUUCUCGACCCUGAGAGGUAUGAAGACACCUGACAAGUUCUUGUAUGUCAGGAACAGAAGUUUUGACCAAUGCACAGAAGAGUGCAGACGCAAUUGCUCUUGCUCCGCAUAUGCUUAUGCUAACCUGAGAAAUGGAAGUGCUUAUGCUAACCUGAAAAAUGGAAGUGGGGCUGCGGACCAGUCAAGGUGCUUAAUUUGGUUAGGAGGACUUGUCGACACGGGGAAAUUUCGUGAUGGUGGUGGUGAGAACCUGUACCUCCGCCUUGCCAGUUCAACAGUUGACAAGGAGAGUAAGGUAUUGAAGAUUAUACUCCCAAUAGUGGCUAGUCUGCUGAUACUCGCAUCCAUCUGCCUUGUGUGGAUAUGCAAGUCAAGAGGUAAACGACGAAUCAAGGAGAUUAAGAACAAACAUACGCCACAGCACUUGCAAAAUUCCAAGUUGAACGAACUUGAGAAUGAAAGUAUAGACCUUCCAUAUAUUUGCUUUGAAGACAUUGUUACUGCAACAGACAAUUUCUCAGACUACAAAAUGCUUGGGAAAGGUGGCUUUGGAAAAGUUUACAAGGGACUAUUAGGAGGUGGUGGUAAGGAAGUUGCUGUCAAAAGGCUUAGUAAAAGUUCCGGCCAAGGGGCCGAGGAGUUCAGAAAUGAAGUUGUUCUAAUUGCCAAAUUACAGCAUAGAAACUUAGUUAGACUUCUUGGUUACUGCACUUAUGAAGAUGAGAAGUUAUUGAUAUAUGAAUACUUACCUAACAAAAGCUUGGAUGCCUUCCUUUUUGAUGCAACAAGAAAUUCUGUGCUUGAUUGGCUUACCCGGUUCAAGGUAAUUAAAGGGAUAGCAAGAGGGCUUCUUUAUCUCCACCAAGAUUCAAGGUUAACAAUAAUUCAUAGGGAUCUCAAAGCAAGCAAUGUCUUGUUAGAUGCAGAAAUGAACCCUAAAAUAUCAGAUUUUGGUAUGGCAAGGAUAUUUGGAGGAAAUGAGCAACAAGCGAACACUAUCCACGUUGUUGGGACAUAUGGUUACAUGUCUCCUGAAUAUGCAAUGGAAGGUUCCUUUUCUGUCAAGUCUGACACUUAUAGCUUUGGCGUUCUACUGUUGGAGAUUGUAAGUGGGUCAAAGAUCAGUUCAUCCCAUUUCAUGACGGACUUUACAAGCCUUAUAGCUUACGCCUGGAGCUUAUGGAAAGAUGGAAAUGCAAGAGAAUUGGUGGACUCGUCCAUUGUGGAGAACUGUCCACUUCAUGAAGUUCUACGAUGUGUUCAUAUAGGUCUCUUGUGUGUUCAAGACAAUCCAAAUGCCAGGCCGCUCAUGUCAUCCACUGUGUUCAUGCUAGAAAAUGAAACGGCUCUGCUUCCUACUCCGAAGGAGCCUCUAUACUUUAGGCAACGGUAUGAUGAGGUUGAAGACCAAAGAGAUACCAUGGGAAUAACCCUGAAUAAGAUGACUAUCACUAUGCAAGAGGGACGUUAG
RNAcentral lists this ribosomal RNA (2472 nucleotides) under Triticum aestivum (bread wheat). RNAcentral describes it as "partial small subunit ribosomal RNA". The record is from RNAcentral. Lineage: Eukaryota; Viridiplantae; Streptophyta; Magnoliopsida; Poales; Poaceae.